UUAAUGGAGAGUUUGAUCCUGGCUCAGGACGAACGCUGGCGGCGUGCCUAAUACAUGCAAGUCGAGC
Molecule: ribosomal RNA, 67 nt
Filed under: Paenibacillus polymyxa
Lineage: Bacteria; Bacillati; Bacillota; Bacilli; Caryophanales; Paenibacillaceae
Also listed under: 4 other names
Description: partial 16S ribosomal RNA
Rfam family: Bacterial small subunit ribosomal RNA
Source: RNAcentral